Molecule: ribosomal RNA, 400 nt
Filed under: Aliarcobacter butzleri
Lineage: Bacteria; Pseudomonadati; Campylobacterota; Epsilonproteobacteria; Campylobacterales; Arcobacteraceae
Description: bacterial SSU rRNA
Rfam family: Bacterial small subunit ribosomal RNA
Source: RNAcentral
UACCUGGACUUGACAUAGUAAGAAUGAUUUAGAGAUAGAUUAGUGUCUGCUUGCAGAAACUUGCAUACAGGUGCUGCACGGCUGUCGUCAGCUCGUGUCGUGAGAUGUUGGGUUAAGUCCCGCAACGAGCGCAACCCUCGUCCUUAGUUGCUAACAGUUCGGCUGAGAACUCUAAGGAGACUGCCUACGCAAGUAGGAGGAAGGUGAGGAUGACGUCAAGUCAUCAUGGCCCUUACGUCCAGGGCUACACACGUGCUACAAUGGGGUAUACAAAGAGCAGCAAUACGGUGACGUGGAGCAAAUCUCAAAAAUGCCUCCCAGUUCGGAUUGUAGUCUGCAACUCGACUACAUGAAGUUGGAAUCGCUAGUAAUCGUAGAUCAGCUAUGCUACGGUGAAUAC